CAGACCGCGAACACGUGUUAAUAAGCUCCUCCCGCCUAGCGCUUGCGCUUGGUGGGCUAACGAACCCCGGCGCGGCAAGCGCCAAGGAAUACUUAAAGGAAUCGUCGUGCCCCGGGCGCCCGUUCGCGGUGCGUCUCGGGUGCGCUCGUACCUCGAAUGUCUAAACGACUCUCGGCAACGGAUAUCUCGGCUCUCGCAUCCAUGAAAAACGUAACGAAAUGCGAUACUUGGUGUGAAUUGCAAAAUCCCGUGAACCAUCCAGUCUUUGAACGCAAGUUGCGCCCGAAGCCUUCUGGCCGAAGGCACGCCUGCCUGGGCGUCACGCAUCGCGUCCCCCCCUCCAAAAUCCCUAGGGAUCUUGGAGCGGGAGCGGAAAUUGGUCUCCCGUGCGCCUCCCGGCUCGUGGCCGGCCUAAAUUAAAUCCUGCAUCGACGGAUGCCUCGACCAGUGGUGGUUGAAAAACUCUCUUGCUGUCCAGCUGCACGUCCCUUGCUAGGCAUCGUCCAAACCCACCGGCGCUUCCCGUGCCUACCACCGCGACCCCCGGUCAGGCGGGACUACCCGCUGAAUUUAAGCAUAU
RNAcentral lists this ribosomal RNA (580 nucleotides) under Veronica persica (birdeye speedwell). RNAcentral's name for it is "eukaryotic LSU rRNA". The stretch from base 167 to 322 matches the Rfam family "5.8S ribosomal RNA". The record is from RNAcentral. Lineage: Eukaryota; Viridiplantae; Streptophyta; Magnoliopsida; Lamiales; Plantaginaceae.